Molecule: ribosomal RNA, 445 nt
Filed under: uncultured bacterium
Lineage: Bacteria
Description: partial 16S ribosomal RNA
Rfam family: Bacterial small subunit ribosomal RNA
Source: RNAcentral
GUAAGGAAUAUUGGACAAUGGACGCAAGUCUGAUCCAGCCAUGCCGCGUGAAGGAUUAAGGUCCUCUGGAUUGUAAACUUCUUUUAUAAGGGACGAAAAAAGGCUUUUCUAAGUCGUCUGACGGUACCUUAUUAAUAAGCACCGGCCAACUCCGUGCCAGCAGCCGCGGUAAUACGGAGGGUGCAAGCGUUAUCCGGAUUCACUGGGUUUAAAGGGUGCGUAGGCGGGCAGGUAAGUCAGUGGUGAAAUCCUAGAGCUUAACUCUAGAACGGCCAUUGAUACUAUCUGUCUUGAAUAUUGUGGAGGUAGGCGGAAUAGGUCAUGUAGCGGUGAAAUGCUUAGAUAUGACAUAGAACACCUAUGGCGAGGGCGGCUUACUACGCAUAUAUUGACGCUGAGGCACGAAAGCGUGGGGAUCAAACAGGAUUAGAUACACGUGUAGUCC